Mustela lutreola (European mink) is the source of this 1721-nucleotide long non-coding RNA. RefSeq lists it as uncharacterized. The record is from RefSeq and is a predicted model, not a curated record. NCBI's taxonomy places the organism in Eukaryota, Metazoa, Chordata, Mammalia, Carnivora, Mustelidae. The transcript is spliced from 2 exons.
UAGAAUGUCAAGCAGAUUCUGCUCUAAGUGCAGAGCUCUACACGGGGCUCUCCUAGGACCCUGAAAUCAUGAUGAACUGAAAUGGAGAAUCAGAUGCUUCACCAGCUGAGCCACCCAGGCACCCUUCUUCUCUUCCCUCCUCCCUUCCAUCCACUCCCUCCCCUCCCUUCCUUUUCUCUCUCCUUCCUCCCUUUCUUCCUUCCUUCCUUUCUCCCUUCCUCCCUCCCUAUUUCUUUCCUUCCUUUCCCCUUUAAACAUUUAUUGAAAACCAACUGUGUGCCGGGCACUGGCCUGGGUACUAGAGGCUGCUUGUGUCAAGACAAACACAGAUCCUGUCUUGGAGGAGCACACCAUCAGCGCCUGGCAGACAAGCAUCUCUGCAGUUGUGCCCUGGCCCAGGCCUAGCCAUGGGUGCCCCCAGCCCCUGGCGGCAGCGAACGUCAGGACCGGCUAAGACCAACUUUGGUACCAUGGCGCCCUCUGCUGUCCAGAUGUGGCAAGAGCAGUGUGGCUCCUGGAGAUCAAGCAGCCCUGCCCCUUGGAGACUUCAUACAUUUUUCAACCAUUGAGAAGACCUCCAUCCCGAGGUUGAGGUGGCCAACUAGAAGGCACCGAGGGUCUGGAGGCUGCAAGCACCGGCCCUUGGUGUCUGACUGACCUGGGUUUGCAUCCUGCCUCUAUGGCUGCAUGGCUGGUUGACCCUGGGCUUGUUGCUUGGUUUCUCUGUGUUUUGGUCGCCUCUUCAGGAGAGCAAAGGGGAUUGUUCAUGUUCCCAUGGGGCAUAGAGCUGAGCACAAAGUGCCCGCUCAUACCAGACAACUACUCAUUGUUGAAAUAUUAUGUUAAUAAAUGAGUUAAUAACUGUAAUGUUCUUAAAACAAACCAGGCAGAUAGUAAAUGCUAAUGGAGCAAUUUAUAUUCUUGGCAUCUACUAUUUGCCAGAUUUAUUCCCCUUGGAUCCCUAAGGGCUUAGUAGUGCCAAUAUUAAUAAUAAAUAAUUAGAUGGCAUAUAAUAUUAUUAUCAGUAUUUAUAGGCCCUUAAGGGUCCAAGGAAAUAAAAUUAGGAGGUUCCACAAGCCCAAGAUAUUAUUUUAUUGCACUAAAUCAUAUUUCUCUUUGACAAAUAAAAUGUGUAUUGGGGGGAGAUUAUCUCAUAAAUUUGGAGUAAAAAAUAUUGGCUCUUUCUUUCUUUCUUUCUUUCUAUCUUUCUCUCUUGGCUAUCCUUCCUUCCUUCCACUUAGUUCUUUCCAUAUGAAUUAAAUAAAGCCUUCAAAAGUGUCCUUAUUUCUUGCUGCAAAGAAAUUUAGGAGGCUAAAGGGGGCUUGUGAGUUCAAAACUCCCCCAAGCUGACCAACCAUCCUGGUUGCCUAAGACUAAGGAGUUUCCUGGGAUUUGGGAACUUUCCGUGCAAAAACUGGGACAGUCCCAGCAUACUGAGACAGUUGGUCCCCUUAACUUCUUUCCACCCUGCUUGGACCAGAAACUCAGUCCCAGGAGAAAGACUGAUUCAAAUCCAGGGAGGGGCUUAAGAUCUCACUUAUUUGGCCGAAAACCCAGUUCUUAGAGUAAUAAGAUGGUGACCUUCAGUAAAUCACUUAACCUCUCUGAGCUUUGGUCUAUAAAGAUGGGAUGUUGUGGAUAUCCAGACAAGGUGUACAAGUACUUGGCUUGGAGCCUGGUACAGACAGUUCUCCAAUAAACUCAUUUGGCUGUGGAUUCUA